Molecule: ribosomal RNA, 253 nt
Filed under: uncultured bacterium
Lineage: Bacteria
Description: partial 16S ribosomal RNA
Rfam family: Bacterial small subunit ribosomal RNA
Source: RNAcentral
UACAGAGGUCCCAAGCGUUGUUUGGAUUCAUUGGGCGUAAAGGGUGCGUAGGUGGCGUCGUAAGUCGGGUGUGAAAUCUCGGGGCUUAACUCCGAAACUGCAUUCGAUACUGCGGUGCUUGAGGACUGGAGAGGAGACUGGAAUUUACGGUGUAGCAGUGAAAUGCGUAGAUAUCGUAAGGAAGACCAGUGGCGAAGGCGGGUCUCUGGACAGUUCCUGACGCUGAGGCACGAAGGUCAGGGGAGCAAACGGG